GAUGAACGCUGGCGGCGUGCCUAAUACAUGCAAGUCGAGCGAACAGAUAAGGAGCUUGCUCCUUUGACGUUAGCGGCGGACGGGUGAGUAACACGUGGGUAACCUACCUAUAAGACUGGGAUAACUUCGGGAAACCGGAGCUAAUACCGGAUAACAUUUGGAACCGCAUGGUUCUAAAGUGAAAGAUGGUUUUGCUAUCACUUAUAGAUGGGCCCGCGCCGUAUUAGCUAGUUGGUAAGGUAACGGCUUACCAAGGCGACGAUACGUAGCCGACCUGAGAGGGUGAUCGGCCACACUGGAACUGAGACACGGUCCAGACUCCUACGGGAGGCAGCAGUAGGGAAUCUUCCGCAAUGGGCGAAAGCCUGACGGAGCAACGCCGCGUGAGUGAUGUAGGGUUUCGGCUCGUAAAACUCUGUUAUUAGGGAAGAACAAAUGUGUAAGUAACUGUGCACGUCUUGACGGUACCUAAUCAGAAAGCCACGGCUAACUACGUG
Molecule: ribosomal RNA, 497 nt
Filed under: uncultured bacterium
Lineage: Bacteria
Description: partial 16S ribosomal RNA
Rfam family: Bacterial small subunit ribosomal RNA
Source: RNAcentral